AUUCCGGUUGAUCCUGCCGGAGGCCAUUGCUAUCGGAGUUCGAUUUAGCCAUGCUAGUCGUACGGGUUCAGGCCCGUGGCGACAAGCUCAGUAACACGUGGCCAAACUACCCUGUAGACGGAGAUAACCUCGGGAAACUGAGGCUAAUAUCCGAUACAGCUCGCAUGCUGGAGUGCAGCGAGCUGGAAACGUUCCGGCGCUACAGGAUGUGGCUGCGGCCGAUUAGGUAGACGGUGGGGUAACGGCCCACCGUGCCGAUAAUCGGUACGGGUUGUGAGAGCAAGAGCCCGGAGACGGUAUCUGAGACAAGAUACCGGGCCCUACGGGGCGCAGCAGGCGCGAAACCUUUACACUGC
RNAcentral lists this ribosomal RNA (356 nucleotides) under Halobacteriales archaeon QS_5_68_33. RNAcentral describes it as "bacterial SSU rRNA". It matches the Rfam family "Archaeal small subunit ribosomal RNA", at positions 1 to 358 of the family's 1478-position model. The record is from RNAcentral. Lineage: Archaea; Methanobacteriati; Methanobacteriota; Halobacteria; Halobacteriales.